GACGAACGCUGGCGGCGUGCCUAAUACAUGCAAGUCGAACGCAUUUUCUUUCACCGUAUUUUGCUACACCGACAGAAAAUGAGUGGCGAACGGGUGAUUAACACGUCGGUAACCUGCCCAUCAUCGGGGGAUAACACUUGGAAACAGGUUCUAAUCCCGCAUAAUUCCAUUUACCGCAUGGUAUAUGGAUGAAAGGCGCUUUUGCGUCCCUUUUGGAUGGACCCGCGGUGCUUUAGCCUGUUGGUGGGGUAACGGCCUACCAAGGCUGCGAUGCAUAGCCGGCCUGGGAGGGUGAUCGGCCACACUGGGACUGAGACACGGCCCAGACUGCUACGGGAGGCAGCAGUAGGGAAUCUUCGGCAAUGGACGCAAGUCUGACCGAGCAACGCCGCGUGAGUGAAGAAGGUUGUCGGAUCGUAAAACUCUGUUGUUAGAGAAGAACAAGGAUGAGAGUGGAAAGUUCAUCCCUUGACGGUAUCUAACCAGAAAGCCAUGGCUAACUACGUG
This 507-nucleotide ribosomal RNA is filed under the name uncultured bacterium. RNAcentral describes it as "partial 16S ribosomal RNA". It matches the Rfam family "Bacterial small subunit ribosomal RNA", at positions 28 to 507 of the family's 1533-position model. The record is from RNAcentral.